Molecule: ribosomal RNA, 613 nt
Filed under: uncultured bacterium
Lineage: Bacteria
Description: bacterial SSU rRNA
Rfam family: Bacterial small subunit ribosomal RNA
Source: RNAcentral
CCUACGGGAGGCAGCAGUAAGGAAUAUUGGUCAAUGGACGAAAGUCUGAACCAGCCAUGCCGCGUGAAGGAUGAAGGUCCUCUGGAUUGUAAACUUCUUUUAUCUGGGACGAAAAAAGGGCUUUCUAGCUCACUUGACGGUACCAGAGGAAUAAGCACCGGCUAACUCCGUGCCAGCAGCCGCGGUAAUACGGAGGGUGCAAGCGUUAUCCGGAUUUACUGGGUUUAAAGGGAGCGUAGGUGGGCAGGUAAGUCAGUGGUGAAAUCUCUGGGCUUAACCCGGAAACUGCCAUUGAUACUAUCUGUCUUGAAUAUCCUGGAGGUAAGCGGAAUAUGUCAUGUAGCGGUGAAAUGCUUAGAUAUGACAUAGAACACCCAUUGCGAAGGCAGCUUACUACGGGAUUAUUGACACUGAGGCUCGAAAGCGUGGGGAUCAAACAGGAUUAGAUACCCUGGUAGUCCACGCCCUAAACGAUGGAUACUCGACAUCAGCGAUACACUGUUGGUGUCUGAGCGAAAGCAUUAAGUAUCCCACCUGGGAAGUACGACCGCAAGGUUGAAACUCAAAUGAAUUGACCGGNGNGAGAGNGCGACGACGACGACGAGGGAGGAGG